UGUAAGUCUUAAACUCUACAUUAGAUGUUGAUUGAUUUAUACUUUGAGUAUACCAAUUAUGGUUAACAUUCUUUUAAAGUCUAGGAGCAUGAGGGCUUUGACUUGUGUGUGUGUGUGUGUGUGUGUGUGUGUGUGUGUUAAAAUGAAUACUGAGUACCAACCUCUAA
RNAcentral lists this small RNA (167 nucleotides) under Marmota monax (woodchuck). Lineage: Eukaryota; Metazoa; Chordata; Mammalia; Rodentia; Sciuridae. The record is from RNAcentral.